Molecule: ribosomal RNA, 449 nt
Filed under: uncultured bacterium
Lineage: Bacteria
Description: partial 16S ribosomal RNA
Rfam family: Bacterial small subunit ribosomal RNA
Source: RNAcentral
UCCCAGACUCCUACGGGAGGCAGCAGUGGGGAAUAUUGGGCAAUGGGGGAAACCCUGAUGCAGCGACGCCGCGUGGGCGACGAAGCGCUCCGGCGCGUAAAGCCCUGUCAGCAGGGAAGAACAAAGACAGUACCUGACCAAGAAGCCCCGGCUAACUACGUGCCAGCAGCCGCGGUAAUACGUAGGGGGCAAGCGUUAUCCGGAUUUACUGGGUGUAAAGGGGGCGCAGACGGCAGCGCAAGCCAGGAGUGAAAGCCCGGGGCCCAACCCCGGGACUGCUCUUGGAACUGCGCGGCUGGAGUGCAGGAGGGGCAGGCGGAAUUCCUGGUGUAGCGGUGAAAUGCGUAGAUAUCAGGAGGAACACCGGUGGCGAAGGCGGCCUGCUGGACUGCGACUGACGUUGAGGCCCGAAAGCGUGGGGAGCAAACAGGAUUAGAUACCCCGGUAAG